GAAUUUUCACACUUCCCUUUACCGAGUUUUACUG
This 34-nucleotide small nuclear RNA is filed under the name Parhyale hawaiensis. RNAcentral's name for it is "spliced leader precursor". Lineage: Eukaryota; Metazoa; Arthropoda; Malacostraca; Amphipoda; Hyalidae. The record is from RNAcentral.